Long non-coding RNA from Hevea brasiliensis (rubber tree), 557 nucleotides. RefSeq lists it as uncharacterized. The record is from RefSeq and is a predicted model, not a curated record. NCBI's taxonomy places the organism in Eukaryota, Viridiplantae, Streptophyta, Magnoliopsida, Malpighiales, Euphorbiaceae. The transcript is spliced from 2 exons.
GGGAUGGAUCAAGCGAAGACAAAAGGCGAGGGACGGAGCAUAGAUUGAUCCCUCAUCUCGCCGUCGUUGCCACUGUCCGUCGCCGACAGGACUUGCAUAGAUCCAUCCCUCACCUUGCCGCCCUUGCCGCUGUCCGUCGCCGUCAGAUGAACUACACAAUGCUUGGUGCCGCCGCAGAACUUCUUCUGCAUCUUCCAUAUCAGCAAUUUUUUCUUCAAGCCUGAGAUAAAAUAUGGGCAACAACUAAACCCACAUUAGUCAUCAAGAAAUCCAGUUAUGCUCCCUCCACAUUAACAUAAAGAGGCACAUUUAUAAAUUUUAGAAAUUGUAGAACCUCUGCAUGGCAGUUUUCAACUCAAUGAUCUUUGUUUCUGCCUCUAAAGCCUGCUUUAACCGUUCUGCACUGAGCUUAUUGGUUUCCUCAUAUUUCCUCUCUGCUUCAUCAAUUUUCUUUUCUAGUGAACUGACCAUAGCCUGUGGAGAGUCAUGCAGAAUAUAUCAUUUAGUACAAGUUCAAUUUUAUCUUUUUUAUAUAUUAUCCAUUUUCCUUUUCCUUA